AUGUCAGAGGUGUACAACAGCUACAUCUUGGAUGCAAGAGAAUUGUGUGUUAUAUCAAUGCUAGAAUGCAUAACACAUAAAAUUACUGUGAGGCAUGACAAAAAGUACAAAGAAGCUUCAGAAAAGUGGACUGGACUUAUCUGCCCCAAGAUUAGGAAGAAACUGGACAAAAAUGCAGAGUACUCAGGUAACUGCUUUCCAACACAUUCAGGACUUGGAAUUUAUGGUGUUGAAUCAGGCAACAACAAGUAUGUUGUGGAUAUUCCAGCAAGAACUUGUGAUUGCAAAAAAAUUCAAUUGGAUGGCAUCCCUUGCAAUCAUGUGAUUGCUUGUUGUAGAGCUGAUAGGAUUGACCCUGAAACAUUGGUUCACAAGUGCUAUAGCAUAGAAAAUUAUCUAAAGGCAUAUGGGCACAACAUCAUGCCUAUGAGGGACAGGAAA
RNAcentral lists this ribosomal RNA (441 nucleotides) under Triticum aestivum (bread wheat). RNAcentral describes it as "partial small subunit ribosomal RNA". The record is from RNAcentral. Lineage: Eukaryota; Viridiplantae; Streptophyta; Magnoliopsida; Poales; Poaceae.